This is a long non-coding RNA of Oncorhynchus kisutch (coho salmon), 231 nucleotides long. RefSeq lists it as uncharacterized. The record is from RefSeq and is a predicted model, not a curated record. Lineage: Eukaryota; Metazoa; Chordata; Actinopteri; Salmoniformes; Salmonidae. The transcript is spliced from 3 exons.
AGUUGAACUCAACAGAGAAACCAGCGGUGGAGUUGAAUGUUCUGGACUUCCAUGUUCAUAUCAAAGGCUUCAUGCACACUGUAUGAACGGGUGUAUACAGGUGUAGACAUGAACAGGUGUAGAUAUGAUAAAGGUGUAGAUAUGAACAGGUGUAGAUAUGAACAGGUGUAGAUAUGAACAGGUGUAUACAGGUAUAGAUAUGAACAGGUGUAUACAGGUAUAGAUAUGAAC